UAUUAGCUAGUUGGUGAGGUAACGGCUCACCAAGGCUGCGAUAGGUAGCCGGCCUGAGAGGGUGAACGGCCACACUGGAACUGAGACACGGUCCAGACUCCUACGGGAGGCAGCAGUGGGGAAUAUUGCACAAUGGAGGAAACUCUGAUGCAGCGACGCCGCGUGAAUGAUGAAGGCCUUCGGGUCGUAAAGCUCUGUCCUUGGGGAAGAAACAAAUGACGGUACCCUUGGAGGAAGCCCCGGCUAACUACGUGCCAGCAGCCGCGGUAAUACGUAGGGGGCGAGCGUUAUCCGGAAUUAUUGGGCGUAAAGAGUGCGUAGGUGGCCAUGUAAGCGCGGGGUGAAAGGCAAUAGCUUAACUAUUGUAAGCCUUGCGAACUGUAUGGCUUGAGUGCAGGAGAGGAAAGUGGAAUUCCUAGUGUAGCGGUGAAAUGCGUAGAUAUUAGGAGGAACACCAGUGGCGAAGGCGACUUUCUGGACUGUAACUGACACUGAGGCACGAAAGCGUGGGGAGCAAACAGGAUUAGAUACCCUGGUAGUCCACGCCGUAAACGAUGAGCACUAGGUGUCGGGGUCGCAAGACUUCGGUGCCGCAGUUAACGCAUUAAGUGCUCCGCCUGGGGAGUACGCACGCAAGUGUGAAACUCAAAGGAAUUGACGGGACCCGCACAAGCAGCGGAGCAUGUGGUUUAAUUCGAAGCAACGCGAAGACCUUACCAUGGCCUUGACAUCCCUCUGACAGUCCCUUCACCCGGGAACAUUCUUACGGACAGAGGAGACAGGUGGUGCAUGCUUGUUCGUCA
Molecule: ribosomal RNA, 803 nt
Filed under: uncultured bacterium
Lineage: Bacteria
Description: bacterial SSU rRNA
Rfam family: Bacterial small subunit ribosomal RNA
Source: RNAcentral